AGAAUCAACGACUGGCGGCGUGCCUCAGACAUGCAAGUCGAACGCGAAAGUCCCCUUCGGGGGACGAAGUAGAGUGGCGCACGGGUGAGUAACACGUAGGUAAUCUACCUUCGGAUGGGAAGUAACAACCGGAAACGGUUAGCUAAUACCGCAUAAUGCAGCGGCACCUAAUGGUGACAGUUGUUAAAGCGGGGAUUGAAAGACCUCGCGUCUGAAGAGGAGCCUGCGGCGGAUUAGCUUGUUGGAGGGUAACGGCCUACCAAGGCGACGAUCCGUAGCCGGCCUGAGAGGGCGGUCGGCCACACUGACACUGACAUACGGGUCAGACU
Molecule: ribosomal RNA, 329 nt
Filed under: uncultured bacterium
Lineage: Bacteria
Description: bacterial SSU rRNA
Rfam family: Bacterial small subunit ribosomal RNA
Source: RNAcentral